AUGUCAACUGGGCUUUGCAUGGGUGCUGCAUUGACUGGCAUAAAUUUAAAGAAUAGAUGGGUGGUGGAUACAAACGAACAUGCUUGCAGUAGUCUAGGGGAUCACCACCCAUGCACAAAGGUAGUAUUUUCCAUCAACAAAGCUCCAAUGAAUGACAUCCUUCUUCCAUCAACCAAACAUGAUGUCUUGUAUGUUUUGCCUCCAAUUUUACAUGUACGAAAUGAGAAGGCCGAAGAUUUUCUGUCCCUUCUUCAUUAUUGGUAUGAACUUUGUGAGAAAUAUGAAGUCCAGAAAAACAACGCAGUGUUGGGCUUUGAUCACGCUAAAACGAUAGCAGAUGACGAAGAUGAAUCUCUUCCACAUGACAUAUUUGAGGUUGCGAAACUUUUAGACAUAUGUUAUGGUGAUCCAACAAAGAAUGAUCAGGUAGGCCUCUGGUUUAAGGUGAGGUGGAAAGGAUAUGGACCUGCUGAUGAUACAUGGGAGCCGAUUGAUGGCCUUCGUGAUUCUCCCGAGUCUAUCGAAGAAUUCAUUGAGAGUGGAUAUAGGGAGGGUAUUUUGCCGUUACCUCAAUAUGUCGUUGCAUAUGACAAAACAGAAGAUAAGCACUUGAAGAAAGCUCUUGUCCUUCGAGAUGCAAUAUCUGAUUUACCCAAGGUAAAAAACAAUGAACCUAAUGAUGUACUGGAGCAUCGCAAUAACCCCAGAACUGAAUUCCAACGCUAUAUUCAGCUCAAUCGUGAAGAGAUGAAGGACUACUCAUUUGGUGAUGCUGCUCCCGUGGAAGGCAAAAUGUUUGAUCAUCAGCCGUUAAAACUAAACAAAGAUGAUUAUGCAAGAGCGCGGCAGAUUCCUGUAAAAAAGGUAAGGGGGCCAACUUCCAUGAUUUGGAGGGCGUCCGGGUCGGAGAGAACAACACCGUUGAGUUUGUUCCAGAUAUUUCUCGUGUACUUCUGCGGUUCUGCCUUCAGGGAAGCCUUUGGUACUGAAAUAUUCUGUGGAGUGGUGCCUGACUAUACCAUGAGUUUCAUGGAAGGGAAGUCAUCAAAACCAUUCAGGCGCGUAUGGUGGGACGAGAUUGUUCCGACUCUUGUCACCAGAGCUGAACCUCACAACUACGUCAUCUUGCAUCCGACGCAGGACCCGGUCCUGACCGUCCGCGAGAAUGCGAGGCUGCAAGGCUUCCCAGACUACUACAGGCUCUUUGGCACUAUAAAGCAGAAAUACACCUUGUAUCACCUAGAUACACCCAGGUCGGCAAUGCGGUUGCCGACCCGGUUGCUCGAGCCCUCGGGCGUGCUUACAAGGGUGAAAUCGACGGAGACUGGCCCCUGUUCGAACUACCCGAGAGUUUCAGCCUUUUGGAUCAAGCCUCUGCCACAAGAUCGUCCGCAGGAGUAG
This 1401-nucleotide ribosomal RNA is filed under the name Triticum aestivum (bread wheat). RNAcentral's name for it is "partial small subunit ribosomal RNA". Lineage: Eukaryota; Viridiplantae; Streptophyta; Magnoliopsida; Poales; Poaceae. The record is from RNAcentral.